Non-coding RNA from Varanus komodoensis (Komodo dragon), 82 nucleotides. The record is from the annotation of a RefSeq genome assembly. Lineage: Eukaryota; Metazoa; Chordata; Lepidosauria; Squamata; Varanidae.
GGUAGUGUGGCCGAGCCAUAUAAGGCAUUGGAUUAAGGCUCUAAUCUCUUCGGGGGCGUGGGUUCGAAUCCCACCACUGCCA